CCGGCCCCAGGCAGGGGUGUUCCUGGCUUCUAUCUUCAGGGAGCCGGAGCAGGUCGGGGUGGCCUGGAGGAGUUGCCAUGUAGCUCGGAUUUCAAGGGGACUUUCUAAGUGAGGCGCUUAGGCAAGACAGUAGGUUCCUUGGCCCAAGUUCUCUCCCCUGAGUUGGACCUGAAGUCCGGUUAACUGCUCAGCAGAGCGUCCACUCUGCGGGAACAGCGUGUCAAAGUCGGAUGUUCUGAGACCGGUUACCUGGUUCCGGGGUUGACUUGGUGAGAUGCACCAAGACUUGGUGAGAUGCAGGACAGCUCUGCAGUUGCCAUACAGCAUGUGGGAUCUUAGUUCCCCGACCAAGGAUCGAAUUCAUGCUUCCUUCAGUGAAAGCACCGAGUCUUAAUCACUGGACCACCAGGGAAUCCUUGCAGUAACUCACGAGGCAUCACUGCUUUCCUAAAUGCAAGAAGCAUAUUACAUGCUGUGCUGUGGCAAACAGGUAUGGCCACAGCAAACCAUCUGCAGAGGGCCAGGGAGCAGGCAUGUUAGGUUUUGUGGGCACACGGUCUGUCUCAGCUGCAGCCCCUCAGCUCUGCCCCUUCUGUGCCGA
This is a long non-coding RNA of Dama dama (fallow deer), 601 nucleotides long. RefSeq lists it as uncharacterized. Lineage: Eukaryota; Metazoa; Chordata; Mammalia; Artiodactyla; Cervidae. The record is from RefSeq and is a predicted model, not a curated record. The transcript has 3 exons.